RNAcentral lists this long non-coding RNA (2312 nucleotides) under Homo sapiens (human). RNAcentral describes it as "HSALNT0090463". The record is from RNAcentral. Lineage: Eukaryota; Metazoa; Chordata; Mammalia; Primates; Hominidae.
GCUGGAAGUUUGUUUUCUUCUUGGUGCGAGGCAAAUUGUUACAGGAUAUCAGGUCACCAGCUCGAACAGACCCUUCUUGCUCUGUCCCAAGGACAAAGAAGAUGGCUGCUGCGUUCCCCUCUGUGAAGAAUUUGCUGGCCUUUGAAAGAAACGGUCAGUAGAAGAUUCACUGGAUAGUGAAAUUCUUUGUGCCUGGGAUGUGUUCAGUCUGCUUUUCUGCUGCACCAGGAAAGAAGGUCCAGUGUCUUAUUUCAUUCUGGAGCUUUUUGAAACUUUUUACUCUGUACUUUAAUUUUGGCAACCUUGGACUGAUGGGGUUUGUAGAUAUUAAUUAUCAAAUUGUUAUUUAUUAGCUGAUAUUCUUUCAAUUCAAUAAAUAUUUUAAAUCCCUUGUGGUGUCUGUUGAACACGUUACCAGGAAACUGAAAUAAUAUCUUCAGUCUUCCUUUUCUUUCCUCCACAAAAUAGAAAGAAGAUAACUAUACAUAGCUGAUAGUUAUUUUCUCUCAGAAAUUCAAAUAUAUUAUUUUUAAGUGCUUCUGUAAAUAUUUGAACUGAAUGCAAUUUAAAAAAUAAAAAUCUAAAGACCAAUACAAUUUUAUCUCAUAAGAUUUUUAUUUUUGACCUUUAAGUCAAGAAUUAAUAUCUCUAUAUUAGCUGCAAAUGGAUUUAAUUACCUAUAUCUGAUUCCAUGUUAAUAAUAUUAAACCCAACAUAGAAAUAUUGCAAUUAUGGGUGUGGUUUUUACCUAAGUAUUCCCAGGAGCAUUUGGGACCAGGCAGAAUAUGGAAAUGUUAAAGGUUACAGCUCAGGAGCUAAAGGUGCGCCUAUAAUGAACUAAAUCAAAGUUCAAUGAAAUAAAUUCAAGAUAUUUAUUGAUGUUUAUUAGGGACCUUAAUGGAUCCACUUUAUUUACUUGCAGGAUAAUUGGAGUAUAGCAGUGUAAGUAGAAGUUUCAGUAGAAGGAAGCAGCCUAUUGUUAAAGACCAGUUGUUCACUUUGCUGAUGAUUAAACACUGCUCUAAUAUAAAGGCAAAAAAUAUUUGCUGUGUUUUCCUUUUUUCUGUUUAGGCUUAAAGGAAACAUAAGUAGCUGUAGUAUUGUGAUAGAGUAGACACCUAAAGUCAUCAGUUUUAGGUAAAAGGCUAGUGAGGCCACUCCUGAAAUUUUGCGUUGGAGGGGCUACAAAUUACUAUUAUCCUUCUGAUUCCAGUUGUGUGUGUUACAAGUUUAUUUUCUGCAACUUUGAGGACUUGAAAUUUUCCUUAAUGCAUUUGUUCAACUUCUUUCCAAGAAAAUUAUGCUAUUAAUUUAAUUACUAAGAUCUUUAUUUGUAUUUAACUUAUUAAAUAUAUGUGUUAGGAAUUGCUUAGUAGAGUAUUAUUUAUGGUUACAUAAGAAAAACACUGCUAAUAAAUAUAACUAGGAAAGAGGGAAGGCUGCUGGGAUUCAUCACAUACAGCAUAUAGCCAAGGUAUUGUAAAAGCAGUCAUUUAUUAUAUGUGACUGUAUUUACAUUUUUAAUAUUUGUAUUGUCCGGAAGGAUUUUCUUGCAAAAGAGUGGUAAAAGAGGCCAAUAAUCAUUAAUAUAACUAGAUAAGUUCCUUGCAGAAAGGCAGAAAAAUGCUCCAGAAACAUCAUAUGCUAAAUUUUCUAGGAACUGUGGAUAGCUGUGGAUAGCUGGGUUUCAGCCAAUUUUUGACAGCAUAUAAAUAAUUUUGAUAUAUACGAAAGAAACUUUGGAAAAGUUCAGAUGAGCUUUUCCUUGGAGACAUGACUGCACAAAGUUGGGGUGCUGAUUAUAGUUCAUUCAGUGCAAAAUGAUCCCCUAUUCCCAGCUUUAUACUCCAGUAGUAAUUACAUGGGCUCCCAGAAUGGGGCUAAAAAUGAGGCCUCUUUUUAUACAGUAACUUGGCUGUCACAUUUGUCGCAGAGAAAAAAGAAAACCGUUGAUGCGAGUUUGUAACAGGGUUCAAACACUUUUCAGGUUCACCAUUGUUUUUAUUUUCCAAUAGAAUUUCGUUUGACUCUUGCCUACACUUCUAUCUAUUGUUAUCUCUCACUUCUGCUAGCCUCAGCCUGCUUUCUACAUAUACUCCACUCAAAAGAGGCUGAAGCAAUUCUGAAACGUGUUUAUACAAUUAUUCACUGACCACAUCUGUGUCUACACAUGCAGUAUGAAGUAAAGAUUUCUCCCAAUUAUAUUCAGACUCUAACAAAAUGGCAAAUCACUCUGUUAGAAUAACCACUUAAUAACUUCAUUCUGCUCCUAUGUGUCAAUUUAAGUGCAAAUAAAAUUGAUGCCUGAGAAA